Molecule: long non-coding RNA, 1563 nt
Organism: Panicum hallii
Lineage: Eukaryota; Viridiplantae; Streptophyta; Magnoliopsida; Poales; Poaceae
Exons: 3
Source: RefSeq, a predicted model, not a curated record
CUUAGGAAAUUGUAGCUGGUAUUGCAACUGGUGGUGAGCUUCUAAUGGCUAAUACUGCCUGCUCUUGCCUUGUGUGUUCUUUUAGUUUUAAUGAACACGGUGUUGUCAACAACUUAACAUUGCUACUAUCCAAGGUUACAAAAAAAAAAACUAUUUUGUGCUAGCUUCAGCGUGCUGAAGCGCUUGUCUCUUUGGGACUUGAGCACUCCCAAGGCGUCGCCGCCGCUUCGGCGGCGCGUGGAGGCGAAGAAAAGCGAUGCGCAGCGCGAGAGCUGGAGUAUGAUUUGCAAGCGGCCGGGUGGGAGCUCGAUUCGUGUGUGCAGGAAGAUGAAUAGUUGCUGCCGCCGGCAGGGAAAGGGGAAUUCACUGGGCUAGGGUUAGAAAAGGAGAACAACUUGUGCAGGGCCACCGCCGCUGCUCCUGACCAAGGUCGAGCUCGUCGGCGACCUCGUCGUCUUCUUGCAGUGUCCCGUGACCCCGAGACCGGAGCUGCUCCAUCCUCUGCAUCUCGCCAUCACCAUCUGCCCGCUUGACCCCGGCACGGCAGCACCCAGCAUCCUGCAAGAAUGGCAAGAUCUGAGACAGGAGCCCAGUCCGCAGCAGUGGAGGAAUUGUGUGUCCUCAAGAGGAAGUCUGAAGAUGUAGGAUGGGAGUAUGGGGUUCUAGCUGAUCCUACCAACAUGAAAAGGCGAAGUGCUUGUUUUGUGGCCAUGAGAGCACAGGAGGGAUUUAUCAUUUUAAGUAACAUGUGGCUCAUGUUGGUACUGCUAUGGCUAGUGCAAGAAAAGCACUACAGAAGCUAAAGAAAAGUGCAAGAAAAGCACAACAGAAACUAAAGAAAAGUGCAAGAAAUCACUUGUUGAUGCAACAAGGAAGUGGAGAGAAAAGACUGCUCAUGAACUAAAUCUUAGAGAAGUUUGUAAUUGUUUCUCGGGUUGAAGGGGAGGCAGAGCAAGAAUUUACUUGUGUAGGUGGCUCGAAGCCUCACAGCCAAAUUGAUCCUAAGUCAACACAAGCUGAAGCCUUGAAGCAACAGAAGUUAAACAAGGAACUUUGGAAACAGAAAGCACAUGAGUUGCAACAAUAUGUUGCAAGAUGGAUGUGUACACGUGGCAUGGUAAUAAACCAGCAGAAAUAGGUAGGGUUAUGAGUUAUGACCCGUUAAUUUAGCAUGUGUAAUGUAGCAUUAGGUUUGGAGGAUAUAGUUUGUUAGCUUAUCUCAGCGCAUUGGUGGGUAUGAAGCUGCUUAAUUUUACUGGGUUUGAUUUGUCCACUACAUUGAGCAAUAAACGUGUUGAGGUACUAUUGUACUAAUGGAAAAGUAAAAGUAACCUAGUGUGGUAAUAGGUACAUGUGGGGUUGGGCAUGUGCAUGUCCUGCAAUUUUCUUUUGUUCGUGAAGUGUCUCCUUCACGUACAUCCGGCUCCUAAGAUGUCAUGUCUCCGAAGGUGUCAUGUUUCCUAAGAUGUCAUGUCACCUUGGAAGCUGGUGUCGAGCCGUUGUUGUCUGAGUUCCUGCAUGCACUUCUCUUCUCUCUCGUUAAAACUGGUGGAGGGAUGAAGG